AGAAAGUUGGGCAGUUGCGGGCAGCUUUUGCUGCGUGAGGAAAGUCCGAGCUUCACAGAGCGGGAUAACGGCUAACGGCCGCCGAGGGUGACCUUAGGGAAAGUGCAACAGAGAUAUACCGCCUGCUUUUGCAGGUAAGGGUGGAAAGGCGAGGUAAGAGCUCACCGGCGUGCGGGGAACCGCACGGCCCUGCAAACCCUAUCCGAAGCAACACCGACGGGAGGAGGAGCUUUAAGCUCCGGCGUUUGCUCGACGAUACUCCGACGGGUGGCUGAAGCCCUGCGGCAACGCAGGGCGUAGACAGAUGAUUGCCUUAAAUGACAGAACUCGGCUUACAGGCUCUCUCG
RNAcentral lists this RNase P RNA (347 nucleotides) under pig gut metagenome. RNAcentral's name for it is "Bacterial RNase P class A". It matches the Rfam family "Bacterial RNase P class A". From Rfam's summary of the family: Ribonuclease P (RNase P) is a ubiquitous endoribonuclease, found in archaea, bacteria and eukarya as well as chloroplasts and mitochondria. The record is from RNAcentral.